Molecule: transfer-messenger RNA, 343 nt
Filed under: bovine gut metagenome
Rfam family: transfer-messenger RNA
About the family: Bacterial tmRNA, also known as 10Sa RNA or SsrA, is named for its dual tRNA and mRNA-like properties. Its role is to liberate the mRNA from a stalled ribosome.
Source: RNAcentral
GGGGUUGUACUGGUUUCGACGGGGAUUUUGCAAUCGUGACAGCCAUCUGCAGACCGUGACUGCAUAUCAAAACGGAAAACUUAAAUAUAAACGCAGAAGAUAAUUUUGCUCUUGCUGCCUAAUGGCGGCUGUCGGCCGGAAGUCUCGCAUCGCUUCCGAACCGGCAUCGACUGAUGCGCCACUCCGUUCCCUAAGCUUUGCGGGUCCGGAACAUUUAUGAAGCUACUUUUUGCAUGCGCCUGUCCUUCUGUGCAUGUAGGAGGGAAUUCUAAAGAAUGACUGUGAUGGGAGAACUUGCGAUGAAUGGGUUUUCGGACAGGGGUUCGAUUCCCCUCAGCUCCAC